UACGUAGGGUGCAAGCGUUAAUCGGAAUUACUGGGCGUAAGGCGUGCGCAGGCGGUUUUGUAAGUCUGAUGUGAAAUCCCCGGGCUCAACCUGGGAAUUGCAUUGGAGACUGCAAGGCUAGAAUCUGGCAGAGGGGGGUAGAAUUCCACGUGUAGCAGUGAAAUGCGUAGAGAUGUGGAGGAACACCGAUGGCGAAGGCAGCCCCCUGGGUCAAGAUUGACGCUCAUGCACGAAAGCGUGGGGAGCAAACAGG
This 253-nucleotide ribosomal RNA is filed under the name uncultured bacterium. RNAcentral's name for it is "partial 16S ribosomal RNA". It matches the Rfam family "Bacterial small subunit ribosomal RNA", at positions 524 to 776 of the family's 1533-position model. The record is from RNAcentral.